Molecule: non-coding RNA, 490 nt
Organism: Marmota flaviventris (yellow-bellied marmot)
Lineage: Eukaryota; Metazoa; Chordata; Mammalia; Rodentia; Sciuridae
Source: RefSeq, a predicted model, not a curated record
AGGAGCCCAGCCCUGGACUCCCAGCUCAGCCCACUCAGUGAUCAGGACUGAACACAGCUGCUCACCAUGGAGAGUGUGCUCAGCUGGGUUUUCCUGGUGGCUGUUUUCAAAGGUGUCCAGUGUGAGGUGCAGCUGGUGGAGUCUGGGGGAGGUCUGGUGCAGCCUGGGGGUUCCCUGCGACUCUCCUGUGCAGCCUCUGGAUUCACCUUCAGUGACUACUAUAUGCACUGGGUCCACCAGGCUCCAGGGAAGGGGCUGGAGUGGGUCUCAUACAUUAGUUCUAGUAGUGGUACAAUAAACUAUGCCAACUCUGUGAAGGGCCGAUUCACCAUCUCCAGAGACAACUCCAAGAACACACUGUAUCUGCAAAUGAGCAGAGGACACAGCCACCUAUUACUGUGCCAGGGACACAGUGAGGGGUCCUCAGUAUCUCAAGGUGAGGAUGAACAUCAUGGUGGAAGACUGUGGAGGAGGGGAGCUGCUCACAUGA